Molecule: long non-coding RNA, 842 nt
Organism: Hermetia illucens (black soldier fly)
Lineage: Eukaryota; Metazoa; Arthropoda; Insecta; Diptera; Stratiomyidae
Exons: 3
Source: RefSeq, a predicted model, not a curated record
CUACUACUCACUUGGCAGUGAGUGUCAUUUUACUGUUAUCUUCACUCUCGUCAACUGUCAGUGUUGUCAGGAGAGCCGACGUCAACAGUGGCGGCUGCCGCUGCUAUCGGAAAUUGGCGCUCCGAGCGCAGAGCAGAGAAUCUAUUUCGAUCUUCGUGAAAGACCAACGAGACGGCGAAGAUUGGGAUCAAGAGUGUUGCCGUCUCCGGAUGCUCGCGCGACUACGGUUAUUCAAAAGCUCCGGAAGUAGACGAGAGUUCUUGGCGAAGAUCCUGUGGCUUCUACAAUGUUGAUGUUGCGGUUCACACGUGUCAUAAGUGACGAACUAUUAGUGACUUCCCGCCAUGGCGAUUGGUAAUUUGCAUAUGCCUUGCCUUAACCCGGGAUGGUCUCUCGUUUAAAUGGUUUUUAAAUAUAUGCACAUGCAGUAACGAAUGCGAAUGGUAGAAUAAGUCAUUUGCAUAACUUUCAGCUUAAUUUAUUGUAAAUUUUGCAUAAAAUUAAACGCGAUAGCAAUACAAGACAUCACCUUUGCGAACAAUCAAUACGCAAACUGGAUACAUUAAAAGAAAUUUGCUGCCGAAUGGAGAAAGGAACUGCCGAAUUCCUUGAAGGUCAGUCAGUCGACCUGAUGGUCGGAUUCUAAUCACCGUUUUGUCAUGAAUGUUUGUACUCGUGCUCGUCCCAUUAUUUCACUGCCUAGCUAUUUCUUACGGGACCACUACAUCUCGACAUUGGCCGUUUAUUGCCGUCUUGCAAAUCAAGCAACUGAUAAAACAACGAUAGGAACGCACGUGCGCUGCGCAUUAAAUGGUGGCGGUUUAGUGAGGAAAAAGGAUUAG